CUCGACAAUGGAUAUCUCGGCUCUCGCAUCGAUGAAGAACAUAUUGAAAUGCGAUACUUGGUGUGAAUUGCAGAAUCUCAUGAACCAUUGAGUUUUUGAACGCAAGUUGCGCCCAAAGCCUUCUGGCUGAGGGCACAUCUUCCUGGGCAUCACG
RNAcentral lists this ribosomal RNA (154 nucleotides) under Begonia lukuana. Its description in RNAcentral is "5.8S ribosomal RNA". It matches the Rfam family "5.8S ribosomal RNA". Rfam says of the family: 5.8S ribosomal RNA (5.8S rRNA) is a component of the large subunit of the eukaryotic ribosome. It is transcribed by RNA polymerase I as part of the 45S precursor that also contains 18S and 28S rRNA. Functionally, it is thought that 5.8S rRNA may be involved in ribosome translocation. Lineage: Eukaryota; Viridiplantae; Streptophyta; Magnoliopsida; Cucurbitales; Begoniaceae. The record is from RNAcentral.